Molecule: ribosomal RNA, 2934 nt
Filed under: Enterobacter ludwigii
Lineage: Bacteria; Pseudomonadati; Pseudomonadota; Gammaproteobacteria; Enterobacterales; Enterobacteriaceae
Description: 23S ribosomal RNA
Rfam family: Bacterial large subunit ribosomal RNA
Source: RNAcentral
GGGUUGUGAGGUUAAGCGACUAAGCGUACACGGUGGAUGCCCUGGCAGUCAGAGGCGAUGAAGGACGUGCUAAUCUGCGAAAAGCGCCGGCGAGGUGAUAUGAACCUUUGACCCGGCGAUGUCCGAAUGGGGAAACCCAGUGUGUUCCGACACACUAUCGUUAACUGAAUACAUAGGUUAACGAGGCGAACCGGGGGAACUGAAACAUCUAAGUACCCCGAGGAAAAGAAAUCAACCGAGAUUCCCCCAGUAGCGGCGAGCGAACGGGGAGCAGCCCAGAGUCUGAAUCAGCUUGUGUGUUAGUGGAAGCGUCUGGAAAGUCGCACGGUACAGGGUGACAGUCCCGUACACGAAAGCACACAGGCUGUGAACUCGAAGAGUAGGGCGGGACACGUGGUAUCCUGUCUGAAUAUGGGGGGACCAUCCUCCAAGGCUAAAUACUCCUGACUGACCGAUAGUGAACCAGUACCGUGAGGGAAAGGCGAAAAGAACCCCGGCGAGGGGAGUGAAAAAGAACCUGAAACCGUGUACGUACAAGCAGUGGGAGCCUCUUUUAUGGGGUGACUGCGUACCUUUUGUAUAAUGGGUCAGCGACUUAUAUUCUGUAGCAAGGUUAACCGUAUAGGGGAGCCGAAGGGAAACCGAGUCUUAACUGGGCGUUAAGUUGCAGGGUAUAGACCCGAAACCCGGUGAUCUAGCCAUGGGCAGGUUGAAGGUUGGGUAACACUAACUGGAGGACCGAACCGACUAAUGUUGAAAAAUUAGCGGAUGACUUGUGGCUGGGGGUGAAAGGCCAAUCAAACCGGGAGAUAGCUGGUUCUCCCCGAAAGCUAUUUAGGUAGCGCCUCGUGAACUCAUCUUCGGGGGUAGAGCACUGUUUCGGCUAGGGGGCCAUCCCGGCUUACCAACCCGAUGCAAACUACGAAUACCGAAGAAUGUUAUCACGGGAGACACACGGCGGGUGCUAACGUCCGUCGUGAAGAGGGAAACAACCCAGACCGCCAGCUAAGGUCCCAAAGUCAUGGUUAAGUGGGAAACGAUGUGGGAAGGCACAGACAGCCAGGAUGUUGGCUUAGAAGCAGCCAUCAUUUAAAGAAAGCGUAAUAGCUCACUGGUCGAGUCGGCCUGCGCGGAAGAUGUAACGGGGCUAAACCAUGCACCGAAGCUGCGGCAGCGACGCUUAUGCGUUGUUGGGUAGGGGAGCGUUCUGUAAGCCGUUGAAGGUGUCCUGUGAGGGGUGCUGGAGGUAUCAGAAGUGCGAAUGCUGACAUAAGUAACGAUAAAGCGGGUGAAAAGCCCGCUCGCCGGAAGACCAAGGGUUCCUGUCCAACGUUAAUCGGGGCAGGGUGAGUCGACCCCUAAGGCGAGGCCGAAAGGCGUAGUCGAUGGGAAACAGGUUAAUAUUCCUGUACUUGGUGUUACUGCGAAGGGGGGACGGAGAAGGCUAUGUUAGCCGGGCGACGGUUGUCCCGGUUUAAGCAUGUAGGCGGAACGAUUAGGUAAAUCCGGUCGUUUAUUAACGCUGAGGUGUGAUGACGAGGCACUACGGUGCUGAAGUAACAAAUGCCCUGCUUCCAGGAAAAGCCUCUAAGCAUCAGGUAACACGAAAUCGUACCCCAAACCGACACAGGUGGUCAGGUAGAGAAUACCAAGGCGCUUGAGAGAACUCGGGUGAAGGAACUAGGCAAAAUGGUGCCGUAACUUCGGGAGAAGGCACGCUGAUAUGUAGGUGAAGCCCCUGCGGGUGGAGCUGAAAUCAGUCGAAGAUACCAGCUGGCUGCAACUGUUUAUUAAAAACACAGCACUGUGCAAACACGAAAGUGGACGUAUACGGUGUGACGCCUGCCCGGUGCCGGAAGGUUAAUUGAUGGGGUUAGCGGUAACGCGAAGCUCUUGAUCGAAGCCCCGGUAAACGGCGGCCGUAACUAUAACGGUCCUAAGGUAGCGAAAUUCCUUGUCGGGUAAGUUCCGACCUGCACGAAUGGCGUAAUGAUGGCCAGGCUGUCUCCACCCGAGACUCAGUGAAAUUGAACUCGCUGUGAAGAUGCAGUGUACCCGCGGCAAGACGGAAAGACCCCGUGAACCUUUACUAUAGCUUGACACUGAACACUGGUCCUUGAUGUGUAGGAUAGGUGGGAGGCUUUGAAGCGUGGACGCCAGUCUGCGUGGAGCCAACCUUGAAAUACCACCCUUUAAUGGCUGGUGUUCUAACGUAGACCCGUGAUCCGGGUUGCGGACAGUGUCUGGUGGGUAGUUUGACUGGGGCGGUCUCCUCCCAAAGAGUAACGGAGGAGCACGAAGGUUAGCUAAUCCUGGUCGGACAUCAGGAGGUUAGUGCAAUGGCAUAAGCUAGCUUGACUGCGAGAGUGACGGCUCGAGCAGGUGCGAAAGCAGGUCAUAGUGAUCCGGUGGUUCUGAAUGGAAGGGCCAUCGCUCAACGGAUAAAAGGUACUCCGGGGAUAACAGGCUGAUACCGCCCAAGAGUUCAUAUCGACGGCGGUGUUUGGCACCUCGAUGUCGGCUCAUCACAUCCUGGGGCUGAAGUAGGUCCCAAGGGUAUGGCUGUUCGCCAUUUAAAGUGGUACGCGAGCUGGGUUUAGAACGUCGUGAGACAGUUCGGUCCCUAUCUGCCGUGGGCGCUGGAGAAUUGAGGGGGGCUGCUCCUAGUACGAGAGGACCGGAGUGGACGCAUCACUGGUGUUCGGGUUGUCAUGCCAAUGGCACUGCCCGGUAGCUAAAUGCGGAAGAGAUAAGUGCUGAAAGCAUCUAAGCACGAAACUUGCCCCGAGAUGAGUUCUCCCUGAGACUUUAAGUCUCCUGAAGGAACGUUGAAGACUACGACGUUGAUAGGUCGGGUGUGUAAGCGCAGCGAUGCGUUGAGCUAACCGAUACUAAUGAACCGUGAGGCUUAACCUUACAACGCCGAAGGUGUUU